This 515-nucleotide ribosomal RNA is filed under the name uncultured bacterium. RNAcentral's name for it is "partial 16S ribosomal RNA". It matches the Rfam family "Bacterial small subunit ribosomal RNA", at positions 28 to 523 of the family's 1533-position model. The record is from RNAcentral.
GAUGAACGCUGGCGGCGUGCCUAAUACAUGCAAGUCGAGCGAAUGGAUUAAGAGCUUGCUCUUAUGAAGUUAGCGGCGGACGGGUGAGUAACACGUGGGUAACCUGCCCAUAAGACUGGGAUAACUCCGGGAAACCGGGGCUAAUACCGGAUAACAUUUUGAACCGCAUGGUUCGAAGUUGAAAGGCGGCUUCGGCUGUCACUUAUGGAUGGACCCGCGUCGCAUUAGCUAGUUGGUGAGGUAACGGCUCACCAAGGCAACGAUGCGUAGCCGACCGGAGAGGGUGAUCGGCAACACGGGGACUGAGACACGGCCCAGACUCCUACGGGAGGCAGCAGUAGGGAAUCUUCCGCAAUGGACGAAAGUCUGACGGAGCAACGCCGCGUGAGUGAUGAAGGCUUUCGGGUCGUAAAACUCUGUUGUUAGGGAAGAACAAGUGCUAGUUGAAUAAGCUGGCACCUUGACGGUACCUAACCAGAAAGCCACGGCUAACUACGUGCCAGCCGCCGCCGUAA